This 25-nucleotide non-coding RNA is filed under the name Mus musculus (house mouse). The record is from RNAcentral. Lineage: Eukaryota; Metazoa; Chordata; Mammalia; Rodentia; Muridae.
UGAGCUGAUCUCGUGACACUUGUGA